This 402-nucleotide ribosomal RNA is filed under the name bacterium. RNAcentral's name for it is "partial 16S ribosomal RNA". It matches the Rfam family "Bacterial small subunit ribosomal RNA", at positions 355 to 775 of the family's 1533-position model. The record is from RNAcentral.
UGGGGAAUAUUGCACAAUGGGGGAAACCCUGAUGCAGCGACGCCGCGUGAAUGAAGAAGGUAUUCGUAUCGUAAAGUUCUGUCCUAUGGGAAGAUAAUGACAGUACCAUAGAAGAAAGCUCCGGCUAAAUACGUGCCAGCAGCCGCGGUAAUACGUAUGGAGCGAGCGUUGUCCGGAAUUAUUGGGCGUAAAGGGUACGCAGGCGGUUUAAUAAGUCGAAUGUUAAAGAUCGGGGCUCAACCCCGUAAAGCAUUGGAAACUGAUAAACUUGAGUAGUGGAGAGGAAAGUGGAAUUCCUAGUGUAGUGUUGAAAUACGUAGAUAUUAGGAGGAAUACCAGUAGCGAAGGCGACUUUCUGGACACAAACUGACGCUGAGGUACGAAAGCGUGGGGAGCAAACAG